Molecule: microRNA precursor, 90 nt
Filed under: Chaetura pelagica (chimney swift)
Lineage: Eukaryota; Metazoa; Chordata; Aves; Apodiformes; Apodidae
Description: mir-7 microRNA precursor family
Rfam family: mir-7 microRNA precursor family
About the family: This family represents the microRNA (miRNA) precursor mir-7.
Source: Rfam by way of RNAcentral
UGCCCGCCUCCCUCUGGAAGACUAGUGAUUUUGUUGUUGUUUGGCUCAUCCCACCACAACAAGUCACAGUCUGCCCCAGGGCGGGGGGCC